RNAcentral lists this signal recognition particle RNA (292 nucleotides) under Vombatus ursinus (common wombat). RNAcentral's name for it is "Metazoan signal recognition particle RNA (ENSVURG00010017146.1)". It matches the Rfam family "Metazoan signal recognition particle RNA". From Rfam's summary of the family: The signal recognition particle (SRP) is a universally conserved ribonucleoprotein. It is involved in the co-translational targeting of proteins to membranes. The record is from RNAcentral. Lineage: Eukaryota; Metazoa; Chordata; Mammalia; Diprotodontia; Vombatidae.
GCUGGGCAUGGUGGCAAAUGCCUAUAAUGCCAGCUAGUAGGGAGUCUGGGUUGGCAGAUCAUUUGAGCUCUGGAAUUCUGAGAUGAAGUAAGCUAUGCUGAUGGCAUGUCUACAUUAAGUUUAGCAUCAAUAAAGUGAACCUCUUGUGAGUGGAGGGCCACCAGGUAGCCUAAGGAAGGUUGAACCAGUCCAGGUCAGAAAUGAAGCAGGUCAAAGUUCUCAAGGCAAUCAGGAAGGAGACUGGGCCCAUAAGUAGCCUGGGCCAGAUGGAGAGACAAAGAUAGGGAGAGAU